Molecule: long non-coding RNA, 679 nt
Filed under: Lathyrus oleraceus (garden pea)
Lineage: Eukaryota; Viridiplantae; Streptophyta; Magnoliopsida; Fabales; Fabaceae
Description: Pisum sativum (pea) long non-coding RNA (PSAT_LNC011213)
Source: RNAcentral
GAAACAUAAGAAAGUGAUAAGAUGAUGAGAAAUGAGAAUCAAAUAAAAAUUAGGUUUCAUACUUUUCAUUGUCUUCUCACUUCGUCAUAUGUUUAUCACCUUUCACAAUUUCUUUAUUUACUCUUUUUUAUUAAAUCUCUUUUUUUUUUAUCUAUUUUUUUUAUUCUCUUUUUUUAAGUAAUAAGAUUUUUUUAACUCUUUAUAAAUUUGUUACUCAGUUUUCUUCAUAACUCUAUUUAUCUGUAUUUUAAAAUAAUAAUAUUUUUUCUCUUUUUUAAAGUAAUAAUAAUUUAUAUGUUUUAUUUUUUUCUGGGAUUAUUCGAUAAACUCUAUCAUUAUCAGUCUGUUCAUAACUCUAUUAUUCACAUUUUCUUAAAAGGUGUUUUCCUUAUUUAGUCAUUUUAUUAGUAGCCUAUGAAUCUCUAAGGAUAACCAACUUACCAACGUUAUCAAAACACCGAUUCUAUUUUGCAGUCUGAUCAUCCACAUGGUUAUUAAGAUUCAGGAAACAACUCAAUUUAUAAAGUUAACAAAAGAUCAAAUAUACUUUUUUUAUUGAUGUAUCAUUCACUCUGAUGAAUUUUAUCAGAUCAACCAUUAAAUUGUUUAUUACAGUUAGACCUUUAAUUAAAAAUUUGUUAUAUGGUAUACCUACAAAUUCUUUAUGCUUCUUCUCUUC